UCGGGAAUUUUGGGCAAUGGGCGAAAGCCUGACCCAGCAACGCCGCGUGAAGGAUGAAGUCUCUCGGGAUGUAAACUUCGUAAGAAUAGGAAGAAUAAAUGACGGUACUAUUUGUAAGGUCCGGCUAACUCCGUGCCAGCAGCUGCGGUAAUACGGAGGGUGCAAGCAUUGAUCGGAAUUACUGGGCGUAAAGGGCGCGUAGGCGGUUCGAUAAGUCGGAUGUGAAAUUCCGGGGCUCAACCCCGGAGCGGCAUUUGAAACUGUCGAACUAGAGUACAGUUAGGGUAAACGGAAUUCCACGUGUAGCGGUGAAAUGCGUAGAUAUGUGGAAGAACACCGGUGGUGAAGACGGUUUACUGGGCUGUAACUGACGCUGAGGCGCGAAAGCAUGGGGAGCAAACAGGAUUAGAUACCCCCGUAGUCCCUGAGCGGGCUGGCAAGGCGCAU
Molecule: ribosomal RNA, 447 nt
Filed under: uncultured bacterium
Lineage: Bacteria
Description: bacterial SSU rRNA
Rfam family: Bacterial small subunit ribosomal RNA
Source: RNAcentral